This is a long non-coding RNA of Symphalangus syndactylus (siamang), 489 nucleotides long. RefSeq lists it as uncharacterized. The record is from RefSeq and is a predicted model, not a curated record. NCBI's taxonomy places the organism in Eukaryota, Metazoa, Chordata, Mammalia, Primates, Hylobatidae.
AGGUUUGCGAUGACUAGCCCCUCCUCGCUCCAGAGUAGGCACUCAAAAGGAAAUAUUGGACAAUUGAUGUCAACACCAAACAAGAAGUCAGUUUUCAUGUCCCGAAGCAGCCUGUGGAGAGUCCCACAUGAGUGAACUUGGAAGCAGAUAUGAACCCUGUCAACAGCGUGGUAUUUGAUUUGAAAUUACCCUUCCGACUUUUUUAUGGAUAAACAUGAAGCCAGAUAUUCACUACGACAGCUUGUUGAAGGAACGGAUGGUGAAGGCAUCACUUGUCUCAGUGCUGAAGUGCAGCCCUCAAUAAGCCUGCGGUUCAAUGAAGUGCUGUCUUUGUGACAGGAUGGAUGAGGCAGCUCACUAUGUACACAGAUGUCAUAUACUCCUCUUCACUUUGCCCAGUGGGAAUCAUCAAUUGGAAAAUUGGCAUAAGAAUGCUGAUAUUCUACCUACUGACCAAGGGGCCUCAUGUCUUCUACUAGCAUUUGUGAG